UGCAUUCUCUGUCAAAAAUUUCUCAUUAAAAAUGUGUUUCUUUAAAAGUAACUCAAAGCAGCUGAUGAAAUAUAAGAGCAUGGAAAGUUUCAAAUCCCAGAGCAAAUGUGGAUUCAUCAGGGAUCAUUUGCCAGAGACCUGACUCAAUGGCAAAAGACCUUCUCACCAUUUCUCACAUCCCUUCCUGGGUUUCAUACAGAGUGGAUAAAGAACGACUAAGCUACGAACAAGUCUCCCAAAGAGGAGACAAUCCCGUAAACCUUCCCAGGAUCUCUGCGCCACCUGCCGAGGCUGACGCGCGAGAGAUGGCUGUUACCAAGAUUAUUCCCAAACAUCCUCUAGCUUGCUGGAGACCACAAAGAUCAGUCCUGCCUGAGAGGCCACCGGUGUGCAUCUCACAAAAGAAUAAGAUGAUGGAAAAAUAUGGCCAUCUCCUUGAAGUGGGGGCUGCCGAUGGAAGAAAAGCAGUAGAUGGGCAGAAGACAAGGUCAAAACCCAGGUUGGGCUGACGCUGUCUGGAAGACCAAAAGCCAGCUGCCUUAUCAACGAAUUUAAUGAGUACCUAUUAUGUGUGGGGACCUUGCCAAAUGCUGCAGGAAUCCCUUCCUGAGGGUAUUUACAGUCUAUUGAGGAGACAAGGCACGUGUAGACCAAAUGAUUUAAUUAUCAUCUCAGUCUGUCUUCUCAUACUGAGUUGUAAGGGCGAGAAGGGCAGGGGCUGUGUGUGUUUUGGUAUUGCUGUAUCUCCAGAAGUGAACACAGUGCCUGCUCGGGGGUGCUGUUCCUGCUGAACUAAUUCCCGCCAGAUAUCGUGAGGCCACGUUAGACCAAGGACAUCGGACCCUUCUCUGUGGCUGGGCUGCUCACGGACCCUUGGAUCUCCCAUUGCUAAACCUGUGUAAUGGGCAUAACUUCAUUUUACCCAGUCCACUGUGCAAGAUAUGCACCUUUAAGUAUUUCUUUAACUCAAGUUGUCAUACUUCAUUGAUUCCAAUACAUGCCUUUUCGUGCGUUAGUGUCUCAGAAAUCAGGAUCUUCUCACUGAUGGCAUCUUUGAAUCGCUAUUUCCCGGGUGGCAGGGCGGACGGAAUGGCCCGUGCAUGUCUGAACUUGUUCACAGGCAUUCCUAUGACCGUCCCUUCUGUUGAAGUCUGUGCAUUGUUGGUAGGACCCAAGUUGAGUUUAGUUGCUGUUUGAAAUGUUUUCAAAAAGAUCAUCCCAAGUUUCAGGUUUGAGAUGAAAAGUUAUCGUCAACAGAAAGGUUUGGAAACAGAGCAGUGGGGUGCAAAUAUGAUAUUAGUGAAGCAGGUAUUUGUGUUGGGGGGGGUCGCUGAAAAGCAACAACCUCAUACACAGUAAUAGAUGUAGAUUACUACAAGCGUUUGAAACUGUGAUCAUUUUGUUACUGAGUUGUGUACAAAGGCAAUGCCUGUUUGCACACGUCAAGCAAGCAAGCACCCACAUCAGACCUUUUAGAAUGGGUGGCAGCAUCUCAGAAGAAAACCUGGAGCCAACAGUGGGGGCACUUGUAAGAAAGUUUCAUCAUCAAUACAGAGGACAGCGCCGUGCAGAAAAAUAUGAACAUUGAUUCCAAAUGCGUAAACUCUGAAUGCGAAGAUAACUUCGGGAAUUUCUUAACGAAUUUAUUUUCUUUUUUGUAUACGCGUGAGUGUGAUGUAUAAUAAAAGCCUCUGACCCAAUAAGUCUAGAAAAGCUCUUUCAGCAAGCAUAAAAUACAGAUUUUAAGUGAUGAGAAAGCAUUGUUUCAUAGAUGAAUUGGUGUCUUUCUUUCUUAGUGGUACAUAAAUUAAUGAUGCGUUUUACAAUCGAUGGCUUCUGAGUAUCAAUGAAAUAGCUACUUUCUCAUUUGAGUUCCCAUUCCUUUGGGUGUUAGAAAUUAAAUUUCUGUCAGUUCAGCAGCACC
Molecule: long non-coding RNA, 1924 nt
Organism: Herpailurus yagouaroundi (jaguarundi)
Lineage: Eukaryota; Metazoa; Chordata; Mammalia; Carnivora; Felidae
Exons: 4
Source: RefSeq, a predicted model, not a curated record